UACGAAGGGGGCUAGCGUUGCUCGGCAUCACUGGGCGUAAAGCGCACGUAGGCGGACUCUUAAGUCGGUGGUGAAAUCCUGGAGCUCAACUCCAGAACUGCCUUCGAUACUGAGAGUCUCGAGUCCGAGAGAGGUGAGUGGAACUGCGAGUGUAGAGGUGAAAUUCGUAGAUAUUCGCAAGAACACCAGUGGCGAAGGCGGCUCACUGGCUCGGUACUGACGCUGAGGUGCGAAAGCGUGGGGAGCAAACAGG
Molecule: ribosomal RNA, 253 nt
Filed under: uncultured bacterium
Lineage: Bacteria
Description: partial 16S ribosomal RNA
Rfam family: Bacterial small subunit ribosomal RNA
Source: RNAcentral